RNAcentral lists this ribosomal RNA (447 nucleotides) under Triticum aestivum (bread wheat). RNAcentral describes it as "partial small subunit ribosomal RNA". The record is from RNAcentral. Lineage: Eukaryota; Viridiplantae; Streptophyta; Magnoliopsida; Poales; Poaceae.
AUGCGACUAUGCUUAUCUAAAGUACAUACAAUGCAUACUGUGGAAUCAUACAUCAAAUAUUCAUACUUAACUAAAUAUUCUGCAAGUUUUGUUUGCCGCUGCUCGGUCAAGAAAAGCCUAUUGCUCGCCACUAUGUGCGGUUCUCUGCCAUUUCAUGGGGUGCAACCGGAAGUGGCACAAGACUGUAGUUGUGUCGUUCUUAAAUUUACUGAUGUUGAUGUUUCUUUUCAAGAUUGUAGUAUUGUUUACCAAUUUGGUCCCCGGGUUAUGUACUCAUUUCCUUUUCUAUUAUUUGUAAGUAAUUUGCUUCGGUUCAUCGAACUACCUGCUGAAAUAUGUGUAUUAUUUCUCAAUAUAUUGGGCAUCAAUCCACCUCUCAUGAGAUCUCUGAAUUUUCGACGCAUAUUGUAUUUGCUGAAUUAUUUCCUCCAGAUAACUAUGCUUUGA